CCCAUGGAUGACGAAGACCUUAUUGAAAAGAUCAUCGCUAGACUUGACGAUGAAUACAAAUCUAUUGUUGAUGCUAUUAAAGGACAUGAAACUCUAAUCUCCUUUGAUGAACUUCAUG
Molecule: small nucleolar RNA, 118 nt
Organism: Vitis riparia (riverbank grape)
Lineage: Eukaryota; Viridiplantae; Streptophyta; Magnoliopsida; Vitales; Vitaceae
Product: small nucleolar RNA Z247
Exons: 1
Source: RefSeq, a predicted model, not a curated record